CGACUGUGAGCGAAACUUGCACUUACAACUUCGACCGGAUAUGUGACAAUCUCUGCCAGAUUCGAUUGGAUUUUGAUACACUUGUGACUCAAACCUGGCCACUGGGGCCUGUGGGGAUACGGCAGAUUCCGUCAUGGUGUCCAGUCCUUUCUCGUCGUCGGCCAAUGCUUUCCACCCACCGUUUGUGGAACAUUGACGGGACAGCAUAUGUACCUUGAGACUGCAACACUGGAACAGCUGGAGAAACUGGCCAUCACCAAAGGAUCGGACACCGGGAACCGAAACUUCCAAAUCAAGGUCACAUACUUCACCUGCAAUAGCCUGGCCAAAGCACCCGCUGGAUGCACUCAAUAUUUCACGGGGCAAAGUGGAAACUUCCAAUC
This is a long non-coding RNA of Tigriopus californicus, 383 nucleotides long. RefSeq lists it as uncharacterized. The record is from RefSeq and is a predicted model, not a curated record. The transcript has 6 exons. Lineage: Eukaryota; Metazoa; Arthropoda; Copepoda; Harpacticoida; Harpacticidae.